CUCCUGACCUUAGGUGAUCCGCCUGCUUCGGCCUGGGAUUACAGGUGUGAGCCACCACACCCAGCUAACCAACUGAAUUCUAAGCUGGCCUAGGAGAUUCUGGCUCCCUGGUGUUCACACCGCUAAUGCCCCGCUGUGAGUGAAUGUGAUACGGUACAGUACCUUUGAGCUAAUGAAAGGGGAUGUCACCCGAGUGGACCUGAACCAUCAGGCUUUAAAUGAAAGGGACAUGGCGGAGAGGCCCUCUCCUGCAGGCUUGGAGCAGGCAAGCGGCCAUGGUGUGACUUGCAAGGGGACCUCCAGAAGCCGAGAGUGGUCCCUGAUGGCAGCUCGAAAGAAAACAGGGACCUCAGUGCCCCAACGUAGGGACCUGAAUUCUGGCAACAACCAAAAGGGGCAUGAAGAGGAUACCAGACCCCAGCUGAGAACAUGGCUGGCUCACACCGUGAUUGCAGCCUUGUGAGGCCCUACGACAGAGGCCCCGGGCACACCAUGCCACAGUCUUCACCAACAUCAACAGUGUGGCAACGCAUAGGUGCUGCUUCAGGCCUUGGAAUUUAUGGUAAUCUGUCACACAGCAGUAGAGAACUGAUACAAGACCAGGCUUGGUGGCUCACACCUGUAAUCCCAGAACUUUUGGAGGCCAAGGAGGGAGGAUUGCUGGAGCCCAGGAAUUUGAGACCAGCAUGGGCAACUUACGGAGACGCAUCUCUACAAAAAUAAACAUUAGCUGGGUGUGGUGGUGCAUGUCUGUAGUCCCAGUUCUGGGGGAGGCUGAGGUGGGAAUCACUUGAGCCAGGGAAGUUGAGGCUGCAGUGAGCUGUGACUGUGCCACUGCACUCCAGUCUGGGUGAUGGGGCGAGACCCUAUCUCAAUUUAGAAAGAAAAAGAGGCUGGGCAUGAUGGCUCAUGCCUGUGAUCCCAGCACUUUGGGAGGCCGAGGCAGGCAGAUCACCUGAGGUCAGGAGUUCAAGACCGGACUGGCCAACAUAGUGAAACCCCAUCUGUACUAAAAAUACAAAUAUUAGCCAGACGUGGUGGUGGGCACCUAUAAUCCCAGCUACUCGGGAGGCCGAUGAAUGAGCAUUGCUUGAACCUGGGAGGCGGAGGUUACAGUGAGCCGAGAUCACGCCUUUGCACUCCAGCCUGGGUGACAAGAGCAAAACUCCAUCUCAAAAAAAAAAAAAAAAAAAAAAGGAAAAAGAAAAAAACCCUCAUACAAUGGCAAAAGUAACAGGCUGUCACUUCCGGAGGCAGCUUGUGAAGGCUGACGCUGUCUUGGUCAUGCUUCCUGGUGUGCUUUUUUGUUCUGCUGAAGACAGUUGCUACACUAUGAGCUGCCCGGCCGAGAGGCCUACUUUGAAAGGAACUGAAAGCAGCCUCUGGGCCAUAGCCUUGGAAGAACUGAGGUCCUUAUUCUAACAAGCCAUGAGAAACCGAAUCUUGUCAACAACCAGGGCACCGACGUGGAAGCAGACAGCAUCCAGGCCAGCCUUAAGGUGACCGCAGAGCAGCCACAGCUUGACCGCAGCGUUGCACCAGACAAAAGCCAUCUGAGUCUCGCCUGGGUGGCCUCUCCUACCUCAGAAGCCUCUAGGGGAGGAGCCUCCUGAGCUGUCUCAGGGCCUCGGAGUGCCACUGUGAAGGGGCGCCCACCCGGCCGACGUUCACCCAAAAUUCUUCAGGGUCCUAAAAGCCUCUGGAGUCCUUGCAGGCACUCCAGUCUGUUCAGUCCCAGGUGCGCUCGCUCAUCAGGGGAACUCGACCUACCCCAGGAGGCCUCACUGGCCAGCCGGUAAACCCCUUCCAGCUGGGGACGAAGUCCUGAUAAAGAGAUUCACUGCCUCUGGUCUGACUCCUCGCUGGAAGGGACCCUACACCAUGAUUCUGGUCACCACCACGGCAGUCAAAGUGGACGGACUAACUGCCUGGAUUCACCAUUCACACGUCAAGACUACCCCCCCCAUGCGAGAUAAGAAAUGGUUUCAUCCUCAACGGACCCCCUAAAGCUAAGACUUUCGCGCCAUCAUCCUAAUCUCUUUGAUUUCUGUAACCACCCCCUAAAAGGGACCCCCCUUAAUGCCCACUUAUUAUCAAUGGAUCAUCAUGGAGGGCUCAACGGGACAAUUUGUUAGUACUGUACUUGGGGCUGGAACCACCCUUGUCAACUUAACCCUAGAGUACAUUCCCAGAGAUCCCAUAACCUUCUCCCUAGACCUCUGCACUCUCUUAAGUGAGAGCCUAGAUGCAAAUACUAUAGGACAAAUGAAGACAAAAAGAUGGGGCGGGGAAAUGAGGUGAAAGCAAAGGAGAUGGGGUGGGGGAACGUAGUGGCCGAAAAACGGCUUCAGACAGUAGGGCUAUAUCUAUGCCCAGGGUCCACACCAGAUAAGAGGUGAAAUUCUCAUAGCACCAAAUACAGACAGACACUGGAAACGGGUCCCCAUAAUUAUACCCCUAUUAGUAGGACUUGGAAUAGCAGGAUCCGCCGCUAUAGGACUAUCUGCCUUAGUCACUGGGGACCAAAAUUUCCAAACUCUUUCACACCAAAUAGAUGCAGAUAUUACCCAUCUGGAAAAUUCCAUCACCAAAUUAGCUGAACAAGUAGACUCCUUGGCUGAAAUGGUAUUAUACAAUAGAAGGGAGUUAGACCUGUUGUUCUUGAAGGAAGGAAGACUGUGCACAACUCUCAGUGAGCAAUGUUGCUUCUAUGCAAAUAAUUCUGGAAUUAUCUGAGACAGCCUUGUGAUAGUUAGGCAGAACUUAGAAACAAGAAAACCCUUCAGAGAGGCCUCGGGAAAUUAGUACCAAAAACUGUUCUCUUGAUCCCCCUGGCUGACAUCCGUGCUCACUGGAUUAGCAGGACCCUUGGUGUUAGUGGUCCUAGGGUUAACAUUUAGACCAUGACUUUUAAACAUGCUCUGCAAAUUUAUCCAGGAAAGAAUAGAUUUGGUAAAACUAAUAGUUCUAAGAUCCAACUACAGGCUCCUGUGUGAAGAAGAAGACACCUAUUAAAGAUUUAAUACAUGUUAUAAGAACAGGGAGGAGUGUGAUAUAGCUGGCCUAGAGUUAGAACCUGUACAAUGCCAUUUUAUAAAGGACAAAGCUGUUUCCAUUCUCCUCACAAUGACUGCUAACCUUGGCUUCUGUAAACUGCUAAUUUACCUUGCAAAAUGCAAAGAGAGGUAAAGCUGCAUACCUCCUCUUAUCUGGAACUACCAGAAUUGCUGGCCUUUGUUUACAGAGUAAGCACCCCCAGAUAAUUCCAUCCUGGCGCCAAGUAAAUAAAAAUCUAUGGAUCCCACCCCUACCCAGACGACGUGUAAACGAAUGCUAAUCUCAGCAUCUGUGAACCCCUUAAAUGACAAUCAGAAUGUCAAAUAGUCCCCUGGCCCUCGAAAUGUCCGAAAUGCCCUCACCCUCAUCUCCGCCCAGAAGGUGAUUUGAAUCCACUGGCCCUCGGAAUGUCUGAAACCCCUCACCCCAUCCUCUCCCCUCACCCCCAAGGUGAUUUUAUGGGUAUAAAAAGGUCUUGUCACCCUUCUUUCUCUGCCACGGGUUGGAGAGACGUGAGUCCUCCAUGGUCGCUGGCAAUAAACCCUGCAA
Callithrix jacchus (white-tufted-ear marmoset) is the source of this 3606-nucleotide non-coding RNA. NCBI's taxonomy places the organism in Eukaryota, Metazoa, Chordata, Mammalia, Primates, Cebidae. The record is from RefSeq and is a predicted model, not a curated record.